CAGCAGCCGCGGGAAUACGAAGGGGGCUAGCGUUGUUCGGAAUUACUGGGCGUAAAGCGCACGUAGGCGGAUACUUAAGUUAGGGGUGAAAUCCCAGGGCUCAACCCUGGAACUGCCUUUAAUACUGGGUAUCUUGAGUUCGAGAGAGGUGAGUGGAAUUCCGAGUGUAGAGGUGAAAUUCGUAGAUAUUCGGAGGAACACCAGUGGCGAAGGCGGCUCACUGGCUCGAUACUGACGCUGAGGUGCGAAAGCGUGGGGAGCAAACAGGAUUAGAUACCCGGGUAGUCCCUGUCUCUUAUAC
This 301-nucleotide ribosomal RNA is filed under the name uncultured bacterium. RNAcentral's name for it is "partial 16S ribosomal RNA". It matches the Rfam family "Bacterial small subunit ribosomal RNA", at positions 509 to 807 of the family's 1533-position model. The record is from RNAcentral.